UUUAUGGGGUGACUGCGUACCUUUUGUAUAAUGGGUCAGCGACUUAUAUUCUGUAGCAAGGUUAACCGAAUAGGGGAGCCGAAGGGAAACCGAGUCUUAACUGGGCGUUAAGUUGCAGGGUAUAGACCCGAAACCCGGUGAUCUAGCCAUGGGCAGGUUGAAGGUUGGGUAACACUAACUGGAGGACCGAACCGACUAAUGUUGAAAAAUUAGCGGAUGACUUGUGGCUGGGGGUGAAAGGCCAAUCAAACCGGGAGAUAGCUGGUUCUCCCCGAAAGCUAUUUAGGUAGCGCCUCGUGAAUUCAUCUCCGGGGGUAGAGCACUGUUUCGGCAAGGGGGUCAUCCCGACUUACCAACCCGAUGCAAACUGCGAAUACCGGAGAAUGUUAUCACGGGAGACACACGGCGGGUGCUAACGUCCGUCGUGAAGAGGGAAACAACCCAGACCGCCAGCUAAGGUCCCAAAGUCAUGGUUAAGUGGGAAACGAUGUGGGAAGGCCCAGACAGCCAGGAUGUUGGCUUAGAAGCAGCCAUCAUUUAAAGAAAGCGUAAUAGCUCACUGGUCGAGUCGGCCUGCGCGGAAGAUGUAACGGGGCUAAACCAUGCACCGAAGCUGCGGCAGCGACACUAAGUGUUGUUGGGUAGGGGAGCGUUCUGUAAGCCUGUGAAGGUGUGCUGUGAGGUAUGCUGGAGGUAUCAGAAGUGCGAAUGCUGACAUAAGUAACGAUAAAGCGGGUGAAAAGCCCGCUCGCCGGAAGACCAAGGGUUCCUGUCCAACGUUAAUCGGGGCAGGGUGAGUCGACCCCUAAGGCGAGGCCGAAAGGCGUAGUCGAUGGGAAACAGGUUAAUAUUCCUGUACUUGGUGUUACUGCGAAGGGGGGACGGAGAAGGCUAUGUUGGCCGGGCGACGGUUGUCCCGGUUUAAGCGUGUAGGCUGAUUUUCCAGGCAAAUCCGGAAAAUCAAGGCUGAGGCGUGAUGACGAGGCACUACGGUGCUGAAGCAACAAAUGCCCUGCUUCCAGGAAAAGCCUCUAAGCAUCAGGUAACAUCAAAUCGUACCCCAAACCGACACAGGUGGUCAGGUAGAGAAUACCAAGGCGCUUGAGAGAACUCGGGUGAAGGAACUAGGCAAAAUGGUGCCGUAACUUCGGGAGAAGGCACGCUGAUAUGUAGGUGAAGCGACUUGCUCGUGGAGCUGAAAUCAGUCGAAGAUACCAGCUGGCUGCAACUGUUUAUUAAAAACACAGCACUGUGCAAACACGAAAGUGGACGUAUACGGUGUGACGCCUGCCCGGUGCCGGAAGGUUAAUUGAUGGGGUUAGCGGUAACGCGAAGCUCUUGAUCGAAGCCCCGGUAAACGGCGGCCGUAACUAUAACGGUCCUAAGGUAGCGAAAUUCCUUGUCGGGUAAGUUCCGACCUGCACGAAUGGCGUAAUGAUGGCCAGGCUGUCUCCACCCGAGACUCAGUGAAAUUGAACUCGCUGUGAAGAUGCAGUGUACCCGCGGCAAGACGGAAAGACCCCGUGAACCUUUACUAUAGCUUGACACUGAACAUUGAGCCUUGAUGUGUAGGAUAGGUGGGAGGCUUUGAAGUGUGGACGCCAGUCUGCAUGGAGCCGGCCUUGAAAUACCACCCUUUAAUGUUUGAUGUUCUAACGUUGGCCCCUGAUCGGGGUUGCGGACAGUGUCUGGUGGGUAGUUUGACUGGGGCGGUCUCCUCCUAAAGAGUAACGGAGGAGCACGAAGGUUGGCUAAUCCUGGUCGGACAUCAGGAGGUUAGUGCAAUGGCAUAAGCCAGCUUGACUGCGAGCGUGACGGCGCGAGCAGGUGCGAAAGCAGGUCAUAGUGAUCCGGUGGUUCUGAAUGGAAGGGCCAUCGCUCAACGGAUAAAAGGUACUCCGGGGAUAACAGGCUGAUACCGCCCAAGAGUUCAUAUCGACGGCGGUGUUUGGCACCUCGAUGUCGGCUCAUCACAUCCUGGGGCUGAAGUAGGUCCCAAGGGUAUGGCUGUUCGCCAUUUAAAGUGGUACGCGAGCUGGGUUUAGAACGUCGUGAGACAGUUCGGUCCCUAUCUGCCGUGGGCGCUGGAGAACUGAGGGGGGCUGCUCCUAGUACGAGAGGACCGGAGUGGACGCAUCACUGGUGUUCGGGUUGUCAUGCCAAUGGCACUGCCCGGUAGCUAAAUGCGGAAGAGAUAAGUGCUGAAAGCAUCUAAGCACGAAACUUGCCCCGAGAUGAGUUCUCCCUGACUCCUUGAGAGUCCUGAAGGAACGUUGAAGACGACGACGUUGAUAGGCCGGGUGUGUAAGCGCAGCGAUGCGUUGAGCUAACCGGUACUAAUGAACCGUGAGGCUUAACCUU
This 2361-nucleotide ribosomal RNA is filed under the name Escherichia coli UCI 58. Its description in RNAcentral is "bacterial LSU rRNA". It matches the Rfam family "Bacterial large subunit ribosomal RNA", at positions 585 to 2925 of the family's 2925-position model. Lineage: Bacteria; Pseudomonadati; Pseudomonadota; Gammaproteobacteria; Enterobacterales; Enterobacteriaceae. The record is from RNAcentral.